AGGUUAAGUUAAUAAGGGCGCACGGUGGAUGCCUUGGCACUAGAAGCCGAAGAAGGACGUGACUAACGACGAAAUGCUUUGGGGAGCUGUAAGUAAGCGCUGAUCCAGAGAUGUCCGAAUGGGGGAACCCACUAGCUACUGGCUAGUAUCCAUAACUGUUAAGGUUAUGAGAAGGAAGACGCAGUGAACUGAAACAUCUAAGUAGCUGCAGGAAGAGAAAGCAAACGCGAUUGCCUUAGUAGCGGCGAGCGAAACGGCAGGAGGGCAAACCGAGAAGUUUACUUCUCGGGGUUGUAGGACUGCGACGUGGGACUUUAAAAUGAUAGAAGAAUUACCUGGGAAGGUAAGCCAAAGAGAGUAAUAGCCUCGUAUUUAAAAUUAUUUUGAGCCCUAGCAGUAUCCUGAGUACGGCGAGACACGCGAAAUCUCGUCGGAAUCUGGGAGGACCAUCUCCCAACCCUAAAUACUCUCUAGUGACCGAUAGUGAACCAGUACCGUGAGGGAAAGGUGAAAAGCACCCCGGGAGGGGAGUGAAAUAGAACCUGAAACCGUGUGCCUACAACAAGUUCGAGCCCGUUAAUGGGUGAGAGCGUGCCUUUUGUAGAAUGAACCGGCGAGUUACGAUAUGAUGCGAGGUUAAGUUGAAGAGACGGAGCCGCAGGGAAACCGAGUCUUAAUAGGGCGACUUAGUAUCAUGUUGUAGACCCGAAACCAUGUGACCUACCCAUGAGCAGGUUGAAGGUGCGGUAAGACGCACUGGAGGACCGAACCAGGGCACGUUGAAAAGUGCUUGGAUGACUUGUGGGUAGCGGAGAAAUUCCAAACGAACUUGGAGAUAGCUGGUUCUCUCCGAAAUAGCUUUAGGGCUAGCGUCGAUGUUAAGUCUCUUGGAGGUAGAGCACUGUUUGGGUGAGGGG
Molecule: ribosomal RNA, 917 nt
Filed under: Streptococcus dysgalactiae subsp. equisimilis AKSDE4288
Lineage: Bacteria; Bacillati; Bacillota; Bacilli; Lactobacillales; Streptococcaceae
Description: bacterial LSU rRNA
Rfam family: Bacterial large subunit ribosomal RNA
Source: RNAcentral